AGGAGGAAGAGGAAGAGGGGAGGAAGAGGAGGAAGAGGAGGGAAAGAAGGGGGAAGCCAGGGGGGAAAGCAUGGACGAUGACCUCCAGGGGGAGGUAGGGGAGAGAGUAGAGAGGGGGGAAGACAAGCGAGGACGCUUGGAGGGAGGGGGAGAGCAUGGUGGAGGUGUGGGUGGAGGUGGAGGUGAGGGUGAGGGUGAGGGUGUAGGUGGAGGUGAGGGUGAGGGUGAGGGUGUAGGUGGAGGUGAGGGUGAGGGUGUACUACACCUGGAGUCUCGCGAGAAGUCCGAAGUCCGCUGGAAACAGAAACAAAAACAACAUUUCAACACAGACUCUCAGGAAACUGGAGCAAAGAGGUGAAGCUGCUCAAAGAGGGACGCUCAGGAGAACCUCAGAGGAACUCAGAGGGGAACAUGUUGCUGCACCCUGAGUCUCUGAUCGACUCCAGCUUCAGGGUUUCAGGAAGAUGCUUCACAUUUUUGCUCAGGGACUGAUCCAGAAUGAAAACUUCUCAACUAAAAUCCUCACUUUGUUUGUCUUUAGUCAGCAGAGACUAAAAACCCACACAGCUCUGCAACGUCACAAACCAGCUCUCAUGAAUGCUCCUCGUUUUAGUUCUCCCUCGUUUCAUAUCUAUUUCACCUUUUUUAACUCCAAAUUUCAUCUAUACCAUGCAUCAAAAUGCAAAAAACUCAAUCUAUUUUACAAAAAUGAUCUUUUAACAAUAAUAAUACAGUAAACUACUGUGAAUAUAGAUUAAAAUAUCUGUAAAGUAUUUAAAUUAAAAUAAUAAUAAAGUAUA
This is a long non-coding RNA of Acanthochromis polyacanthus (spiny chromis), 800 nucleotides long. RefSeq lists it as uncharacterized. NCBI's taxonomy places the organism in Eukaryota, Metazoa, Chordata, Actinopteri, Pomacentridae. The record is from RefSeq and is a predicted model, not a curated record. The transcript has 3 exons.